Molecule: transfer RNA, 63 nt
Filed under: Rattus norvegicus (Norway rat)
Lineage: Eukaryota; Metazoa; Chordata; Mammalia; Rodentia; Muridae
Rfam family: tRNA
About the family: Transfer RNA (tRNA) molecules are approximately 80 nucleotides in length. Their secondary structure includes four short double-helical elements and three loops (D, anti-codon, and T loops).
Source: Rfam by way of RNAcentral
GGGGAUUUAGCUCAGUGGUAGAGUGCUUGCUUAGCAAGCGCAAAGCCCUGGGUUCAGUCCCCA